Molecule: non-coding RNA, 6093 nt
Organism: Dermacentor andersoni
Lineage: Eukaryota; Metazoa; Arthropoda; Arachnida; Ixodida; Ixodidae
Source: RefSeq, a predicted model, not a curated record
UCGAUGACGGCGAAAUGCAAAAACUCUCGUGGGUGCAUGUUAAAGAACUCUAGGUGGUCAAAAUUAAUUUGGACCUUCGUACAAUGCAUACUUCAUAAUCAGAUUGUGGUUUUGGCAUGUAAAACCCCAGAAUUAAGUUUUUCACCUGAAGUGCAAAGAGAAAAGCGGAUGAGAGGACAGACAUGAACAGAACUUGUCCUUGUCCAUCCUGUCGUACCUGUUGUGCAGUAACUGCAUAAGCGAGAAACCAGUAGAUAGGAAAAGGUAUACAAGCUCAAGAUAAAUGAAGUUCAGUAAGACAAUUGAGUCAGUACAUUUAUUGCACUAUGAACUAAAGGAUUAGCAUCUGUAGUGAUAAACACACCUGUGGAUUUGCUUAUAAAACUUCUGCGAUUAUUUUUUUGGCUUUCUCACUUGGCAUAAACAAUAAUGGGCAAUAGAUUGGAGACAGUAUGAGUGAAGAUAUGAAAUUCUUAUCGGGCAAUCUGUCGGACCUCUUUGUAACUUGAAAAUGCCUUUGUUAUAUCUAACAUUUGUUAUGAUCAUUAAGUCUAGAAAUCCAUGUUUCUUAUAACAAUGUUUCACUGUAUUCUGCUCUAAUAGUGAACUAUAACUGGCACUGCUCAAGUAAAUAAGGCCACAUUUUCAAAUACCUUCUGCAUUAUAUUCCGUAGAAACUGCUUGGCUAAAAAAUAAAGAUAUUCAGUACAUCCCUUUAAGAAUCAAGUUUUAAGACCAAGUUCAGGAAACUAUUUCUAUAGUUUCGUGUUCUCCAUAAUUUACAUAAUCAAUUCCUCAUUAAAACUAGGAGCAGAUUAAGUGAUUCACCAUAGCACAUCACAACUACAGUGGUGACCUUACAGUAACAACAUGCUACCGGCGGUAAGGCACAAAACCACAAAAGUUGAGGAACAUUGAAGGGACACUACAUAGUGAAAUACUAAAUCAGUUUAGCAUGAUAAAAUAUUUCAAAACUAAACAUUGUUUUCAAUUUUGCAGUAGUACGAGAAUUAUUAAAAGAGCAAAUGAAAGCUGCAGUCCCCCUUAAUUUUUUUUUUGCUGCAACAUCAGUGCAGCGCGACGUUACGGAUUUCAAAAGUGCUUUUUUGUAUUAGGGCCAUUGUGGAGCGGUAAAUUUCUCAAGUUUGCUAUACACUGCACUUCUAGGAUGGAAUGUAGUACGACUUCACUGAUGAGCAGUUAUCUAGGCUCGAGCAGCCAGCAUCAAAACCUACAAAAUUUCUUCUCUAUGCCUACAGUAUGAUGUCACGGCAAGCUGGGGCAGAAACUCCCCCAAGCUGGGGUCGCUAGCAGUUUUUUGUUUCUGCGUCUUUUCUAUCUUAACAAGCUUCUUUUUACAGUAAGAGGGGCUCUCUUGUUAUUUAGGUAGGUAAUUUACUAGUGCAUCUGAAAUAAUUUUUCUCUUUAGUGUCCACACUGCAAGGAAGAACUGCUUCUUAUACAGGUUUGAUAUUCUGCACAUUCCAAUUUUGCUUUAUGAACCAUACAGUGGUGGAACAGCCAUUUCACCUUUCAGCACAGGGCCUGGUGCAGCAGCAAGCACUUUUGGCGCAGGAACCAAGGCACGUGUGCUCACCAUACACCAUGCAAAUUUUAGCUGAUACAGUCAAUAUGUUGUGGAGAUGGGUUUGCGAGAGGCUUUCCCUGCAAGCAUGGGCAGGAAAGGACGUGAUGCACCUCAGCACCAUGAUGCAUAGAGGGCGUUACAGCCAGGUUUGUCGAUACAAUGCAGAGAAGGCACCACAGGCAGAUUGUCAACAAACAUGUUUUUAGUAACCCAGGAUGACACAGUGCGACAGACAAGGCUUGUGGACGAAGGCUCACUGCAAGACCAAUAGAGUAUGUGCGCCUGCACUGAACAUGACAUCAUACAAUAUACUCAUGUCAUGCCAUGCACAUUAGAGAGUUUUCGAAUAGGAACCGGAAAAAAAAAAGCAUCAGCGCCACUGCGCAUGCACAUGACGCAAAUGGGUUUUGCGCUUGUGUUGGCGAUGCUAUUUCACCAAAAUAGUGCAGCGACCAAAGCUUGAUGCAAAUGUUUUGCGUCAACGAACAUGGCACCACCUACAGAAGUGCUGGCUCUCGCGGUGUAACACAUUUAGCUUUAUUCGCUAAUGCCAUUCUUAACUAUUGCAAAGCCCCACUAUUACCCAUAAACAUCGAAAAAGCUUUCUUUUAAUCAUAAAAUGUGACCUCCUCAUUUGGCAAACUCCAUGGUACCACGUGGGCGGGUUUGAUGAACACUGAAAAAAAGUGCCAGCAAGAUGGUACAGUGGCACUACAUUAGUACGGCCAUUAGAGAAAAAUUCGCGAAUGACGAACCGGACAACUCCAACAGCCCAUAUGGGCCUCUGCUUCCUUCUAUGAUGAUGAUGAUAGCAUGCUGUUGGUUUUGAUUUCAGUUUUGCUAGCUGUGAAACGUACAUAGAAGGAAGGUCUCGCUCUUAUACAUGGUAUGGUGCAGGAUCGGCUCAAUUUUCCGCUAACACGCCGUUUUAGCGGAGGAUGGUGUAAAAGCCCGCUCUUGGCGCAGUUUGCUGCAGCUUUUUUACCAUUGCAAUAUCAGCAAUGUGAACAUAUUAUGUUAUUUAUUCCCCCACUGAUAUGUACUCGCAGGACAAGGCCUAUAGGGAACUAACGCUGAGGCACUACAGCAGCUCAAUGGAGUGUGCAGCUGAAAUGUGUCGACAUUAUCCGAUAGGGAGGCCAUGAAAAUGGUACAUUUUGGAUGAUAACAGACAAUAUCGACGACAGCGACAUGCCCAUGCCAACAUUUCCUUUAGCUCUGGUGCCUAGCCAAGCUCUGGCCAUACCGAUGCAGGUUGGAGAAGCGCAUGUGCUCAUAAACUCUAGCACACCGGUUCCUAGUCAAUUCAGAAUCUGUAGAUAUGAACGUCAAGAAAAGUGGAGCCGUGUCAUGCAGCAAAACAUUCCUCACGAAUUGAAUUACAUCAUCGAGUCAUUGUGGUACCAUGACGAAGAUUGUGAACCAAAACAUGAUGGUCAAGCUGCCAGCAGCAUUUGACACAUCUUGUACAGUGUUGGAUACGGUCCCUUUUCCUGGCAUCACUCGAUUCGCCGACCACAUCCAAUCGUCGUUGCAUUCCAAUAAAGAUGCGUAGGAGCGCAUCUAACAUGUUCCCGGACCUGCCAGACAAGUUGGCGACCCCCACCUCAGUUGCCGCACGUCAAGCUAUUGUCUCCACCCCUGCUUGACUCUUCCCGAAAGUGCAACGGGAGCCUGGCACGGUUCCAGGUAGUUGAUCUUGGUCCCAACAAAGCUGUUUUGUAGCACUGAAAGUUCGUUCGAAAACAACCCGUCUCCUCCAGCUGAGCGCUUUCAGACGGGGAGGCAACACAGAGGCAACGCCUAUUGUAAGUCACCCGUGAGAAAGUCGCAGUGGAGCCCUUGGAGUGACCCCAUCUGCCAAAUGUGACUGCACUUGCACGGGCGCCUACCAUUCGAGGAAAAUGAUGACACCUGAGCGGGCUCGACAACUGGCCGAAAAUGAUGUGACCCCGAGAGACCAAAGGGGUUAAAAGCGAGAGACAGGCAGAAGAGACAUGCGUUCUUUCAUUUCUUUCGUGCUUCUUGCCACUGGCCGCAGCGUCCGAUUUGCUGCCAGCCAUCUAUGACUUUACGACUGUUAAUUACUUUGUGCUAUUACUGUAAAUAAUGUAAAUAAACCUUCGGUUUCAUCUCAAAAUCCUCCUCAACGUCGGCCAACUCCUGCACUCCACGGCAAGAUCCCAUAACAGAUAUCCCCAAGGACAAGUUAGUGACUUGACUUGCUGGGAGGAAGUGGUGCCACCAAGUUUGUGCAUUAUUGCACCAUUCUGCAGUUUCAUUCUGUAGUCGCACAUCAUUCUGUGUGUGUGGAAUGUAAUUGGUAUAAAAGGGGAAACCUACCCCCAAAAUAUUUCAGGUGAAAACUUUUUUUUUUACAUUUGAGGGCCAUUAGGAUUUUCUUAAAUGGUGCCAAAGCAGUUGCAAGAAAUUUUCCUAAAUUUGAGUGUUUCAUUAAGAGUCAUAAGACUUAUAUUAUAGUUAGUAGACAUGUUUCUUUAUUAGACAACAGUUUGGCACUACUUGUUCAUAUUUAUUUGUCUAAUGUGCUCCUGAAUUUGACAAAUAUAUAGUGUCUUCUAAAAGUUAUUUGCAAAAUAUGGCCAAAUAAGAAAGCUCAAAGAUGGUCUUAUACAAAUUUCUACAAAACAUUAUGUGCAAAAAUUUGGGCCUCAACUGUGCAUAACAGCUCCGCAAAACCAUGCUGAGCUUAGAAAAUACAAUAUUUUGGCCUAUGUUUACACGUCAAUAGACCAGUGUAGCUGUCCUAGUAAAAAUCCAGCAAAUAGUGGCCAUCAUAGAGAAGGACAUCAACAAUUUCUACAGAAAGUUUAAACAAAUGAUUUUUGUUUUGAGGAAGAAACAUAUUUUUGAAGUUGACACCCGAAAUGGCGAAAUUUGGUUGCAAGAUGGGAUUCAUUACACUAGCUUAUGGCCGAAACUGGAAAGCGAAUUGAGGCAUGUAGUAGGUGAAAUGUCAGAGCUGGAUUUACAGCAUUCAAAGUAAGGGCCACAAUAUGCGGUUGGGCGUCACAUGAAUGUGGCUUGGCUUAAGAGUUCUCAUUUUCAUUAAAAUCAUUUUAUACAGGGCGCUUCAGAAAAUGUCGAAAUUUCUUAAACAUUGCGAAGCAAUAAGUAAGCAUUUUCCCCUUGGCAUUGUUUUUAUCACAGAGGCAUACAUUCUAAAAUCAUUUGUAGAAAUGUUAUGCGUUCUUUUUUCCAGAGAUAACUUGAAAGUUAAAUCUUUGUGUGCUAGAUGUCUUUCCUAAGUGUAACAAAUGCAAUUUCUGUCUAAGUACACAUUAACAGGCUUUAAUACAAUUGCUAUGUAUUGGUAACAUGUCGACCACUUUACAAAUUUUCAAAUCUCACAUUUCAAACAAUAACAGAGACAUGAGAAUAAGUGACUUUAAUCAGAUAUUUAGUGUUCCUCGAGCAACAUAGCCUCUUCAUAACUGUAAUUGUCCCUUGAAGACACCUCGUAAUCAAUGUCAAAGUCUAGUGUAUCAGAGUUCAUGAGAAGUUUUUGAAUUGCUGAAUGGUUCAAAAAAUAUGCAGGCUUUUCCCACUAGUUCACUUGUCAAAAAAUGAUCAAAAUGCGAGUAACACAGACAGUUGGAUGGAUGGAUGCUACAAGCAUCCCUUUUGAAAUAAGGUGGUGGGUUGCACCAUCAAGCUCUUGUUUUUAUUUUGCCUAAUGUCUUAUAUAUAUUUUUCAGAAAACACACAAACACAAAGAAUUCCCAGCAUCAAACUUUUUGAACCAUUGCAGGGAACUCUCUUUUUGUAUCCCUCCGUUGUUUGUGGUCUCCCUACUUUUCUGCCACCACACCUCCAGUCGCCUCUUACUAAUAUCCCUCUUGAGGACAUAUUUACUUUUCCUCUGCUAUCCCUGAACCCAAGGUUUCAAGGAGGCCAGAGGAGCGUUAACCAGAAGCUGGGUAGAUGUCUUCACAUUCUAACAAAACAUGUUCCAUCAUUUCCCUAGCUUUACUGCAGCAAGCACAUGCAUUUUCGUUCUUCGUGUACCUCGCUUUAUAAAUACACGUUCUAAGGCAUCAUGAUCUCUCCUUGAAAAGUAAGGUGCUGCCUUUUGAGUUAUAAAUUAUUUUAUUGCAAUAGCAAUUAUAUGGACACUCGAAGCACAUUUCUGCCAUCGGUGUCACCAUGACGUUCCGUAUAAACUGCACAAGAGCAAUAACCGUCGCUGCGCGCCCUAUGCUGCAUGUGCAAGUGAACGCGUGGGAGCGGAGCCAACAAUCGCUGCUCAAUCUCGCCUGCCCAAGAGAGACGAAAGCCGGGAGGAAGCGCUCAGUCUUCCAUUGUUGCCGAGGCACCCAGCAUUGCAGGGCACUGGGGGGGAAGCGUUCUACUCUGGCUGCGCAUGUGGCAGCUGCGCGCAGUCGUGUGGCCAUAUCUUGAGAGCGAGCUGCAUUGGGGCAGAGUCUAGGUGCGUCGGUGGUUCGUAGCUUUGUGCGUGCUGUUUGUUCUCAGUGCUCGCUUUG